GUGCAGCAGGCGCGAAUACUUUACAAUGUGCGAAAGCACGAUAAGGGAACUCUGAGUGCCUCCUAAGGAGGCUGUUCUGAUGUCUAAAAGCAACAGAAGUAAGGGCUGGGUAAGACCGGUGCCAGCCGCCGCGGUAACACCGGCAGCCCAAGUGGUAGCCACGUUUAUUGGGUCUAAAGCGUUCGUAGCCGGCCAGGUAAGUUCCUUGGUAAAUUUAGCCGCUUAACGGUUAAGCUUUCAGGGAAUACUGCUUGGCUUGGGACUGGGAGAGGUCAGAGGUACUCCGGGGGUAGGGGUGAAAUCUAUUAAUCCCUGGGGGACCACCGGUAGCGAAGGCGUCUGACCAGACCAGGUCCGACGGUGAGGGACGAAGGCUAGGGGCGCGAACCGGAUUAGAUACCCCUGUAGU
Molecule: ribosomal RNA, 409 nt
Filed under: uncultured microorganism
Description: bacterial SSU rRNA
Rfam family: Archaeal small subunit ribosomal RNA
Source: RNAcentral